Molecule: small nuclear RNA, 61 nt
Organism: Pygocentrus nattereri (red-bellied piranha)
Lineage: Eukaryota; Metazoa; Chordata; Actinopteri; Characiformes; Serrasalmidae
Source: Ensembl
UAGAUUAGCAUGACCCCUGCAAAAGGAUGACGCGCAAAUCCGUGAGGCGCUCCAUAUUUUU